UUUUCAUUUGAUCCUACCCACGGGGUGGAAUGACUAAUCCAAGACCGCACAGACAGAGAAAAUGGCACAGUGGAGCCGGAUUCCGACCCCAGUGAGGCCUUGGUCUGUGUUCCGUUUGAAAUGGAGAAAUCUAGGAAGCACUUCUUGGGAGGAGACGCCUGCAAGUGUUCUUACUUCUAUCGGGUUCCAUCAGUUAUUGAACGUCCACAGUGUGCGUUGCCAGGGAGAAGAGGAAGGACGACAGACACAUCGCCUGCUGCUGGGAAUCAAUGCGGGACUGGUUGACAGCUCAGGACCCAAUCAGAGUCACUUCUGUGGCUCACCCCAGGCUUGAUGGAGGCUGGCUAAUUACAGGGGACUCUGGUAAAUGAGUUGGUGGCCCUCUGGCCAGACCCCUCACCCUAUGGCGUGGUGACCACUACCAGUGGUGGCCCUUCUCUGACUUUGUGUUUCACAGAGAUUCGUCGCCUCCAAGGACAGGUGGAGACAUGGGGUGAGCAGGUCUGAGAAUUCUGAAUUCUGCCUCCCGGUUCAGUCAAGGAGUUAGACACAUUCCCAACGUACCGUACAGAUCCUGGUGCAGAAAGCUAUUUUUCAGUUUCGCCGGAACCAAUUCGAAAACUCACACCAGAAGGAAACCUGUGUAAAAACCAAUCUCAGAUGUGGAGCAAAUGCUGGUGAGGGUGUCAACUGGUAGAAUCACCCUGGAAAACUAGUGGGUUUCCAUAACCAAAGCUGUACUUGGGAGCAGAUAGCUCCAUUCCCAGUUACGAUUGCAACAGUGUUGGUGGUAGGCAGACACUAAGAUGUGACCUUCUAACCAUCAAAAUACAACAAUUAUGAUGGGAUAUGACUUCUCUGAUUACAUUUCCUAAAACUGUAACUUCUAUCUUGCUAGCAUGUUCUCUCUAUUGCCUUCUUGGCUUCCACGCUUUGAUGUUGGAGAGAGCCUUAUAUGACACGGAACUAAAUGUGACCUUUGGCCAAUAGCCAGCUAGGCACUGAGGCCUUCAGUCCAAUAGUCUUCCAGAAAUUGAGUUAUGCCAACCGCAGUGGGAGCUUGGAAGUAAAUCCUUCCCCAGUUUGGACUUCAGAUGAGAUCCCAGCCCUUGCUGACACCUUGAUUCUGCUUUGUGAGGGACUCUGAAGCAGACGGUCUAGCUAAGCUGUGUUCAGACUCUUGAUUCACAGAAACGGAGAUAAUGUGUGUGGUUUGAAUUGUGUGGUAAUUGGUUCCACAGCAAGAGGUAACAAGUUCAGAGAUGCUUACAAAUGUGCACCCAGGGACACGUAUAAGAAUUUUCAUAGCAGCAUUCUUCGUGAUACCCAAAUCAGAAAGAACUCAAAAGUUCAUGGAUGAUAAAGUGGAUAAAUACAUUGCAGUAUAUUCAUAGAGUGGACCACUGUAAGUGCUGUGAGAGUAACUAACCCUAGAUACCUGCAACGAUAUGGGUGAGUCUCACAAGUAAUUAGGUGGGAAAAACCAGACAUAAAAGAGUACACACUGUAUGGUCCAACUUACAUAAAGUUCUACAAUAGGCAAAACUAAUCUGUCAUCCUGUUUGAAACUUAGGAUGGCGACUCCUUUGGGGGUUAGGUAGCUACAGGGAAGGUACAUAGGGAAGUUUUUAAGAUGCUGAUAAAUGUCCUGUUUCUUCAGUCUGGGGGCUGGUUACAGGACUGGUUUACACACGUUUAUGUACGUAUUUGGUUAUAAAUUAAAAAGUUUUUACAACACCGCCUUUUUUUUUCUAGCAGGUGAUCUUUUCAGCACGGGAUAUUCAUAGAUGUGUGCUCAGAGGGGUGCAUUAUCUUUGCAGGCACAGUGUCAGUCAUACACCAGGAAAGGAGAGCAUUGAUUUCAAAUGCCUCAUUUAACAGAAGAGGUAAAGUGAGUUGCAGAAGUCAAGCUUCCAAUCAUUUGUCAGAGCUGCAAGUGCAAAGCAGGUCUCUUGUAUAUUCUGGUUCGAUGUGAGUGCAGUCUGGCUGUGGACCAUCUUUUAUGGUUCUCCAUGCUUGAGUCCCUUUCUUCACCACCCUGUGAGAUUGCCUGUUGAUGUUGCAAACUGAGUUAAAGAUUGCUUUCCCAGACUGACCGGUGUCUGGCUUGGGCUUGGGCUUUAAACUGACCAGUAUCCAAGAAGGAGCUUCUUGGUAUCCUGUUUUCAUGCUUCUACCUUGUUCUGUUGCACUGGAACCCUCCUUGCCAUUUGUUUCCAGGCCUGUUUCUUGUACCAUGGCUAGUGAUCUUUACCUGACCCUCUAUCCACAGUCUGGUUCUCACCCAGCACAACUGAAACUCAAUACCUUUCCUGGUGCUGAACUUGGCGAACUUUCUUGGCUUUGAUUAGGACUCAUCUUUCAGUGUGUAUUUGCUGCUAGCAGCUCUGGGUUAUGACCUUGACUGGGAAGCCUGCAAUCAUCUUACUGAGUCUGCCUCAGUCUCUGCAAAAGAGUAGAGAAGUAUUUUUUUUUUCGAUCAAAGAUCUACAAAUAUCCAAUAUCUCCAUGUUCCAAAUAAGUUCUUACAUUCCAUUUUAGGAAAAUAUCUGCUGGUGUAGGCAGAGAGGAGCAUGAACUACCUGCCUUUUCCCCCUUUUCUCUUUUCUGAGAUCUGAGACCUACGUUAUAAAAGCAACACAAUGAAUGAGAUCAGACAUAUACAAAUACACCUUAGAGACAAAGAGUCAGCCAUGUCAUAAGAAGGCAAAGGAUGGAUGUGACAAUAACCCCAUUGAUGGUAUGGAUGUGUCUAAAGAAAGAAUAUGUCAGUCAGAAAGAAUAUGUCAAUCAGAAAGCUGGCGGGCACAGAACUUGGAGGACAAGCCAGAGGGAACUCUGAAAACCUGGUAUGAAUGUUCCAGGGGUAAUGGCUUCAUCAAGUCCCAGCCAUGUGAUGCCGUUAAGCUUUCAGGUCAUCUAACUAAACUGUCCUUGCUCUGAUUCCAGACUCACUAAGGAGAUUUCCAAUUAUAAUCAACUUCCUGUGUAGAUUUUCUGUAGGGAAAAAAGGUGCUGGGGAGAAGAGUGUAUUUGAUCUUUCUGACAACUGCACAUCCCCUUGUUGAUAGAGGUAUCGACAUUUUGGUGAGAAGUUUUGGUGUUUUCUGAAUUUAGUUCACAGAAGUCAGCUCUCCCAAGGUAGGCAGAUCCUGGAACACUAACAAGAUUGAAGUUUUGGACUUGCACAUCUUCUGGCCAGACCUCGGACUGUGAAAAAUUCAUUAAGGUAAUGCCACUUUGGAAGGCCUCUUGGUAGACAGCCAGCCAGCCAUUUCCUGGUAAUAUUCAACAUGGCUUUGGGCCCAUUUUCAAAAUCAUGAUGGUACCUAACUGGAUUGAGAGGAUGAGAAAGGGAACAGAGAGAAGAGGAGAUAAAUUGGGUAGUCCAUUCAAAUUGGUUUCCAUCGAGGCUACAGAUGGAAAUGGAAUCUUAUUGAAAAUGGACUACGUAUGUGUUUCUUAAAUGGGGAUAGAUACCCUUCUGGGAAUAUGUGGUAAUUUUCUUGGGAUGAGUAAAGAUAGGGGAUAAAACUCAGCACAACUUUCUGGAAGAUUAACUUUUCUCCCUGGUUUGGGGAGAUGGAGAAGUUAAGACAUUAACUAAAGAGGUAAAAUUACCCAGAGUUUGUUGCUGGGUAAUCAGGGAUUAUAUUUACCAGCUUCUCUUGCAUUUAAUUGGGGCCAUGUGAUGACAUUUUGCUCAAGGGAUGUGGGGAGGAUGGCUGUUAAUUUUGGGCUGAAGCAAUUAAGAAGCACUUCUCUCCCCAUCUCACAGUUGAAUGGAGAGGUUGCAGAGGCUCUGAAGGAGGGUAGAGUCACAAGGCCACAGGGCAGGUUGUCCACCCACCAGCCACACCCACACAGACUUUAGACCUCGAUCAUCUUGAAAUUCAUUCAGAUAACAUGGCCUGCCCAAGUGGAGAUAUUUGCCUUUGCAAUUAGAUGUGCCCAGGGAACUAUGUCUAAAUCAACAGGAGACCAAGAGUUGGAGAAGCUGAAGGAAAAGACCUAGCAGGGGCUGAGGAGGUAUGGCUUCAACUGAUGCCCCAGGAGCUGUACUCGCUGGGCCAGGAUUCACAGAAGGUCGAGGAGAAAAUGGAGUUGCUGUGGACUCACCUGCUGCCCCAUGUCAACAUGAUGAGCCAGCAGCAUGUGAAUGACAGUUCAAGUCAUGCACGGUCUCCAUCACUUUACUGGCCAUCAGCCCUUUCUCAGGAAGCUUCUGGAGGAUAUGCUCCACCAAACUGAGGUUGUAAACCAAGAAAGAGGAAGACAUGGGAGACAGGAAACAGAAGACUCAACAAAGGAGAGAGGAGGAGCCCUGUGACAACCAUGUACCCAGAACUGAGGUGCUGAGGGCAAUCUGGAACAGGUCAGAUGGACCCAGUAGGGAUUUAUUCAGCAAGAUGACAUUGAGAGUCUCUCUGUGCAUUCAUAAACAUGGAAAAGAGGAGAGUGUUGAGUUGAUUAGUGGUAACAAUGUUAAUCACAAGAAAGCAAAAUGUUAAUGUCAGACAAAAC
Leopardus geoffroyi (Geoffroy's cat) is the source of this 4524-nucleotide long non-coding RNA. RefSeq lists it as uncharacterized. The record is from RefSeq and is a predicted model, not a curated record. NCBI's taxonomy places the organism in Eukaryota, Metazoa, Chordata, Mammalia, Carnivora, Felidae. The transcript has 5 exons.